Molecule: long non-coding RNA, 662 nt
Organism: Peromyscus leucopus (white-footed mouse)
Lineage: Eukaryota; Metazoa; Chordata; Mammalia; Rodentia; Cricetidae
Exons: 3
Source: RefSeq, a predicted model, not a curated record
AAAGCCCAAGUAGGAACACAGAGAAACUGCCCUUAACAUCCUCAUCUGUAUGGAGUGCAUUCUCCUUCCUCAGGAAACUAUCAGGCCAAAUCCUCAGAGAGUCUUGAGUCAGUCUGGCUCCUCACAGUACUACAGCCCAAAUAUAAGGUGAAUGACAGCGAGUCCACACAGUUGGUGGGAAGCUUUGCAGUCAGUCAAGAGCUGAAGAAGUCUAGAAGAGUGAGGAAGCAAAAAGGAUGGCAAAGAAGCAACAGGCAAAUUCUUGGAAGCACCACGUGUUCAGCACACUGCUGUUGUGAGGAAGAGAUGAACUCUGAGACCUGGUACUAUAGGUCCACGGUGACCAUCAGCUGAUGUCCCCGCACUGACUCGUUCUGAGAGACACAAGAUGGAUUCCCUGGCUCAUUUUUAUGAACCUGCUUAUCUCUUACAGUUGGUCUCUGUUCUAGUGCUUAUCUGUGGGAGAUGAUAAGCCAUUUACCAGGGGACUUUGAAUCCUACUGUAAUCCUGCCAACUCCUUUGCCUGGUGGUUUCAUUUGAGCUCCAGGUUUCAUCGUUUAUGGCUUUGGUUAUCUGUUACCCACAUCCCCAGAGAAAAUGGACCACUGAUAAGCAGGAAAUGAUUUUAUAUCAGAUUGACAUGAACACAAAUGAUAAAGAA